AGUCUGCAACCCGACUCCGUGAAGCUGGAUUCGCUAGUAAUCGCGCAUCAGCCAUGGCGCGGUGAAUACGUUCCCGGGCCUUGUACACACCGCCCGUCAAGCCAUGGGAGCCGGGGGUGCUUGAAGUGCGUCGCCGCAAGGCGCGCCCUAGAGCAAAACCGGUGACUGGGGCUAAGUCGUAACAAGGUAUC
Molecule: ribosomal RNA, 191 nt
Filed under: uncultured bacterium
Lineage: Bacteria
Description: partial 16S ribosomal RNA
Rfam family: Bacterial small subunit ribosomal RNA
Source: RNAcentral